This is a long non-coding RNA of Parus major (Great Tit), 3237 nucleotides long. RefSeq lists it as uncharacterized. The transcript has 3 exons. NCBI's taxonomy places the organism in Eukaryota, Metazoa, Chordata, Aves, Passeriformes, Paridae. The record is from RefSeq and is a predicted model, not a curated record.
UCUACAAUGAAAUCAGAAGUCUUGCACAGUUGAAGAUCCCAAUUAACAUACAAGUUUAUGUCAAUAGAGAAAAUACCAAUCCUUACACACCAACUCACUCUAUGGACCCAGUAUUGGUAUAAUCACUACACAUUUCAAAGUUUUCUGUUUAAUCAAAUUUACUAGAUAUUUACCACAUUCCCACCUUGACUCUUAAAGGAGUUGAUAUUUCUCUCAAAAAAGUCCUCAUACUUUUGAAGUGAUGUGUUAUUAUUCGAGCUUUGCAAAGUUUUUACUCCUUUGAGAGUUUUUAAUUUUGUAUUCCAAGACUUCAGUCUUGAAAUUGAUCCUCCAGGUUCUGGAUGUGAGUUCUCCCCCAGGAACAUAUGAGGAGUAACCAUCACAUAUGGAAAAUGAAGAGCUGAAUUUCAAAAAUUAAGAUUAAUUUAAAUGGAAUUUGAUUUGGACGAAUAUUUUGCCUAAAAUAUAUUUGGUUUGCUUGGCAAAAGCAAAGCCCAGGGAAGGCUGCAGGAGUGGCUUCUGGGACAAGAUGCCAGAAGUUUUCCCCAUGUCCAGCAGAGCCAACGCCAGCCAGCUCCAAGACAGACCCACUGCUGGCCAAGCCCAAGCCCAACAGUGACGGUGACGGUACUCCUGUGAUUUAAAAUGGAGAAAAAACUGCUGAGCAAGAGGAGGUGGACGAGAUGAACUGAUAAUAUGAGAGAAACAGCCCUGCAGACCCAUGGAGGGAGAAGUGUAUGCUGGAGCAGGUUUGCUGGCAGGUGACCCUUGGAAGGACCCACACUGGAGCAGCCUGCUGAUGUACUCCACCCUGUGGAAAAGACCCACGCUGGAGAAGUUUGUCUUCACAAACUUAAAACCUAGCGUUAAACUAAUAAAACUAUAGCCUGUAAGAAAGACCCACAUUAGAAAAGUUCAUGGACAACUGACUCCCAUGGGAUGGACUCUGUGCUGGAGCAGGGGAAGAGUGUGAGGAAGAAAGUGGCAGAGACAGUAUGUAAUGAAUGCCCAAAUGUGUAUAAUAAGGCAUUGACAAAACCUUAUGAAAUAUUGUUUUAUUGAUUCUUCUCAUAAAAAUCUGCCUUGUUAAAGGAAAAAAAAAACCAGCAAAUCAGUCUUCAGACUUUUCUACAUUUGAAGACUAAGUGACACGUUAUUGAAAUACUUGUUUUACAACAGAUACUUCAUUUUAACAUAGCUAUGUUCACAUGAAUAAAAAAAGUAACACUGAAGUAUGUACUAAAGUAUUAUAGAGUCUUUCAGAGUAUUUCUUUCAAUGAAUUUCCAAGUAUGGCCCAGUUCUGUUUUUUUGUAUAGUACAAAACCUUUUAUCAUCAAUAAUUUCCAUUAUGUUCUAAUCCUACAAAACAUCUUUGUGCUCUUCUAAAGCUCAUAAACUCCAACAUUGCACAACAGUCUCAGUUUGAAUACUAACAUUUUUGAGAGGAUUCUGUAUGUGAUUGGGAGCCAGUUGGCCAUAGUUUUAAUGUUGGCUGUGUCUACUAAAAAUAAGUUUUUAAUAAGCCAUAAGAAGUGAUAAUGAUGUCCUGAAGGCUUCCUUAGGCAAACAGGUCUCCCUCUAGAGACUUUCAAAAGCACCAACUUGUCUCCAGCUUCUACGUGUAGAACAUGUAUUUAGAAGGAUUGUUUCCUUAUGCCUCUGAAAUCUUCUACAGGAUAUGUGUCUGUCAAGUCAGACUAUCCUUUUUGCAAAUAAUGUAACUUCUAAAAGCUAAAUUUUCUUCAGAAGAAAAAAAUGCUGUAACCUACAUAUUGAAAGUUUAUUUUUAAAAGCUUUCUUCUAUCACAGCAAGUUUUAUACUGUUCCAAAAAUUGCAGAACUUUUGAAGAACUCUCACUUGAAAGAUGCCAUGGAAAUCAGUCUUCUUGUCAAUUAACGGUAAUCACCAUAAUAGCUAUUUAUCUGUACCUAUCCUUACAGUAUGUUGUUAUUUUCUGGACAGAGAUGCUAUUCUUAUGUGUGAUGCAAAAUGAAUGCCCCAAAAAGCAUGACAAAACAUGUCUGUAAUGCACCUUAACAAAUAAAUGUGUGCUAGUAAUUGCAAGAUCUGUCAAAGGGAAAAGAAGAGCUUUGAGAGAGAUAUUUCAUUUAAACUAGGUGCCUAGGGUAAGUCACAUGUUUAAAAUUGAGAAAAUAAAUUCUUAUUACAUUAGAAAAUAGCUAAACAGCAGACAUAUGCAAGUGCACUAAAUCUAGAUAAAUGAGGACAGCAGUAUCUCCUUCUUCUUGUAGUAGUCUGGAAAUCUUUUAACAACCAUAAUAAUUCUACUGUACCUUCAUUUAAUGGAGCAAGGAAAUGAGAGAUAUUAAUUACCAUAAACAAGCACAUAAAUGUUUACAGAAAGUAGCUGGCAAAACAAAAGGAAUUACCUUGGAAAAACAAUUCAAGCAACUUGGAAAUGCAAAGCUGUCAAGCCUAAUUAGUGUAAAAUUGAGAAGCCUGCUUCCCCUACAGGAUACUAAAGUAUUUCUGCUUGGAAAUAAUGAAAGGGUCAUGCAACUGUGGCAUUAUGCAGGACACCAAACCUUGAAGGCAGAAAUAUGAUAUGCCAUAUUUUGUCCAACAUAACGCUUCAAUGCAGAGACCAAAGGGUCCUCUAGGGACCUGGAAUGCACCUGAGAAUUUUAGGACUGAUACCUGACACAGUCAACAUUUAUCUCACAGCCCCGUAAGAAGUACACCAUUAUAGAUUAUGUCUAAAGUGCACUUUCACAAUCUGUUCUUUGUUAUUGAAUGGUCUGGGUUUUUUUCUGAGGUAAUUUAUGGAAAAUUAGCACAAAAUGAGAGUAAAGUUCUAGUGAAGGACUAUUAAACAGAUAAUUAACUUGAAUAUGGUUAUUGAUAAAAGAAAAAAAGGUCAUUCAGCAAAUAAAGGUCACAUGAAGGAAUCAACCUAAGUCACUGUGCAAUGGUAAGAGUGAAGUGCUAUUUCAGCAAAUUCACUGACAUGAGUCACCUGAUAAAUUUUUUCUUGUUUAUUCUAAAGAAUUAAAUCCCAUAUUGUGAAAAAGCUGUCCUCUGUUGUCCAAGUGCACCCAGAGUCAGCAACAUAUUGGUGGAUUAUUAAUAAAUCACUGUAAGUGCCCAAGUCAUCUCUGUGGCUUGGGAGUCAUUUUGUCUUCCUAAUUUACCUAAAUGUGGAUGAAUGUUUCAAACUAGGACUCAGUGAUGUGCAUACAGCUGUCAUGGUUUUAAAGCAGUAACUAAAAAAUUA